RNAcentral lists this ribosomal RNA (253 nucleotides) under uncultured bacterium. RNAcentral describes it as "partial 16S ribosomal RNA". It matches the Rfam family "Bacterial small subunit ribosomal RNA", at positions 524 to 776 of the family's 1533-position model. The record is from RNAcentral.
UACGUAGGGGGCGAGCGUUGUCCGGAUUUAUUGGGCGUAAAGAGCUCGUAGGCGGUUUGUCGCGUGGUCCGUGAAAACUCACAGCUCAACUGUGGGCGUGCGGGCGAUACGGGCAGACUGGAGUACUGCAGGGGAGACUGGAAUUCCUGGUGUAGCGGUGGAAUGCGCAGAUAUCAGGAGGAACACCGGUGGCGAAGGCGGGUCUCUGGGCAGUAACUGACGCUGAGGAGCGAAAGCGUGGGGAGCGAACAGG